Molecule: non-coding RNA, 58 nt
Filed under: Schistosoma mansoni
Lineage: Eukaryota; Metazoa; Platyhelminthes; Trematoda; Strigeidida; Schistosomatidae
Source: RNAcentral
CCUGUAGCUCCUCUAGAGUUACUGCCGGUCCCAAGCCCGGGUAAAGGAGGAGGGUAGG